This 445-nucleotide ribosomal RNA is filed under the name uncultured bacterium. RNAcentral's name for it is "partial 16S ribosomal RNA". It matches the Rfam family "Bacterial small subunit ribosomal RNA", at positions 354 to 796 of the family's 1533-position model. The record is from RNAcentral.
GUAGGGAAUAUUGGGCAAUGGGUGCAAGCCUGACCCAGCCAUCCCGCGUGCCGGAUGAAGGCCCUCUGGGUCGUAAACGGCUUUUGACGGUGAAGAACCGAAAGGGUGCGCCCUUUUUUGACGGUAGCCGUUGAAUAAGCACCGGCUAACUCCGUGCCAGCAGCCGCGGUAAUACGGAGGGUGCGAGCGUUGUCCGGAUUUAUUGGGUUUAAAGGGUGCGUAGGCUGGAGGGACAGUCAGCGGUGAAAAGCAGUUGCUCAACAAUUGUCUUGCCGCAGAUACUACCUUUCUUGGAUUGGGAGGAGGUUACCGGAACGGAUGGUGUAGCGGUGAAAUGCAUAGAUAUCAUCCAGAACGCCAAUUGCGAAGGCAGGUAACUGUACCUAUAUCGACGCUGAUGCACGAAAGCAUGGGUAGCGAACAGGAUUAGAUACCCUUGUAGUCC